CUUAAGUUCUCUCCUUCCCCACAAAUCUCCAAAAAGGAGAAUGAAAUGAAAAGAAAAUGAUACGAAAAGAAAAAAAAAUGAUCAAUCUUUGUGAGAAAAGUCUUACCUUUUAAUUUUUCCAUUUUUUUCUUUGUUUUCAUUGAUUUUUCCUAUGAUUUCCCUGGCAUUUUCCUCCAUUUUUUAGGUCCUUAGAAGUCUCAAUAGGGUG
RNAcentral lists this long non-coding RNA (208 nucleotides) under Elaeis guineensis (African oil palm). RNAcentral describes it as "long non-coding RNA (EGUI_LNC073592)". Lineage: Eukaryota; Viridiplantae; Streptophyta; Magnoliopsida; Arecales; Arecaceae. The record is from RNAcentral.